RNAcentral lists this ribosomal RNA (1381 nucleotides) under Pediococcus pentosaceus. RNAcentral describes it as "bacterial SSU rRNA". It matches the Rfam family "Bacterial small subunit ribosomal RNA", at positions 34 to 1351 of the family's 1533-position model. Lineage: Bacteria; Bacillati; Bacillota; Bacilli; Lactobacillales; Lactobacillaceae. The record is from RNAcentral.
CGCAUCCGUCUGCUAUACAUGCAGUCGAACGAACUUCCGUUAAUUGAUUAUGACGUACUUGUACUGAUUGAGAUUUUAACACGAAGUGAGUGGCGAACGGGUGAGUAACACGUGGGUAACCUGCCCAGAAGUAGGGGAUAACACCUGGAAACAGAUGCUAAUACCGUAUAACAGAGAAAACCGCAUGGUUUUCUUUUAAAAGAUGGCUCUGCUAUCACUUCUGGAUGGACCCGCGGCGUAUUAGCUAGUUGGUGAGGUAAAGGCUCACCAAGGCAGUGAUACGUAGCCGACCUGAGAGGGUAAUCGGCCACAUUGGGACUGAGACACGGCCCAGACUCCUACGGGAGGCAGCAGUAGGGAAUCUUCCACCAAUGGACGCAAGUCUGAUGGAGCAACGCCGCGUGAGUGAAGAAGGGUUUCGGCUCGUAAAGCUCUGUUGUUAAAGAAGAACGUGGGUAAGAGUAACUGUUUACCCAGUGACGGUAUUUAACCAGAAAGCCACGGCUAACUACGUGCCAGCAGCCGCGGUAAUACGUAGGUGGCAAGCGUUAUCCGGAUUUAUUGGGCGUAAAGCGAGCGCAGGCGGUCUUUUAAGUCUAAUGUGAAAGCCUUCGGCUCAACCGAAGAAGUGCAUUGGAAACUGGGAGACUUGAGUGCAGAAGAGGACAGUGGAACUCCAUGUUGUAGCGGUGAAAUGCGUAGAUAUAUGGAAGAACACCAGUGGCGAAGGCUGCUGUCUGGUCUGCAACUGACGCUGAGGCUCGAAAGCAUGGGUAGCGAACAGGUUUCGAUACCCUGGUCGUCCAUGCCGUUGACGAUGAUUACUAAGUGUUGGUAGGGUUUCCGCCCUUCAGUGCUGCUGUUAAGGCAUUAACGUAAUCCGGCUGGAGGAGUACGACCGCUAGGUUGAUACUCUUAAAGAAUUGACGGGUGUCCGCACAAGCGCGUGGAUUCAUGUGAGUUUGAUUCUGAAUCUACGCGACUAGAACCUUCACCAGGUCUUGACAUCCUUCUGCCAGUCUACAGAGAUUAGAGGUUCCCUUCGGGGACAGGACUGACAGGUGGUGCGAAUCAGGCUCUCAGUCGUCGAGCUCGUGUCGUGAGAUGUUGGGUUAAGUCCCGCAACGAGCGCAACCCUUAUUACUAGUUGCCAGCAUUAAGUUGGGCACUCUAGUGAGACUGCCGGUGACAAACCGGAGGAAGGUGGGGACGACGUCAAAUCAUCAUGCCCCUUAUGACCUGGGCUACACACGUGCUACAAUGGAUGGUACAACGAGUCGCGAGACCGCGAGGUUAAGCUAAUCUCUUAAAACCAUUCUCAGUUCGGACUGUAGGCUGCAACUCGCCUACACGAAGUCGAAUCGCUAGUAUUCUUGAAUCC